CAGUUUGUCAAGGCACUUAGCAGCUCAGUGAGAUCAUGUCUCUAAAUAAAAUUUUUAAAAAGGGUUGAUGGGCUGGGGAUGUAGCUCAAGCGGUAGCGCGCUCGCCUGGCAUGGGUGCGGCCCGGGUUCGAUCCUCAGCACCACAUACAAAGAUGUUGUGUCCACCUAAAACUGAAAAAUAAAUAUUGAAAUUCUCUAUCUCUUUCUCUUUAAAAAAAAUAAAAAUAAAAAAAGGGUUGAAGAUGUGGCUCAGUGGUCGAGUGCCCCCGAGUUCAAUCCUCAGUACCAAAACAAAAAACAAGUUCUUUAAAGGUAUCAGCAAUGAUUUCUUCAGGCAUUUUUUCCCAUUUUUUAAAAAAUAUUUUUUAAGUUGUAAAUGGGCACAAUACCUUUAUUGUGUUUGCUUAUUUUUAUGUGGUGCUGGGGAUUGAACCCAGUGUCUCAUGUAUGCUAGGCAAGCGCUCUGCCACUGAGCCCCAAACCCAGCCCCUUUCCUGUCUUUUGAGAAACUCCAAUCACAUGGAUAUUAGGCCCUUGGAAAUUUGUCUCAAAAUUUAUUGAUACUCUUUCAUUUUUUCCUACUGAUUUUUCUCCUUGAGUUUUAUUUUGGACAGUUUCUACUGCUCAAGUUCACUAAUAUUUCCUUUUAUAUUGUCUAAUAUGCCAAUAAUCCAUUGAAUGUAUUUUUCAUAUGACACUAUAAUUUUCAUCUCUAAAAGUUUAUAUUCAUUAUUGCUACUUAACAGAUUCAAUUUUUCCUCAAGAUUUUUUUUUUUUGGGGGGGGGUACUGGAGAUUGAAUCUAAGGACGCUUUACCACUGAGCUACAUUCCCAGUUCUUUUUUUAUUUUUAUAUCUUUCUUAAUAUCUUAGUAUAUUGUAGAUAUACAUUAUAGUGGGGUUUGACAUAGUCAUAAAUGCACAUAACAUACUUUUCUGAAUUUAAAUCCCCAAUACUCCCUAUUUUCCUCACAACCUCUUCUCUAAGCCCUGAUCUCCUUCCUCCAGUCUAUUGGUUUUCUUUCUAUUUAUUUAUUUUCUUUGUUUAAUUGGUAUAUUAUAGUUAUAUAUAUAUGGAGAGAGAGAGAGAGAGAGAGAGAGAGAGAGAGAGAGAGAGAGAUAAAAUUUUAUUUUUUAUUUUGAAACAGGACCUUUCUAAGUUGCUGAGA
RNAcentral lists this long non-coding RNA (1168 nucleotides) under Marmota monax (woodchuck). The record is from RNAcentral. Lineage: Eukaryota; Metazoa; Chordata; Mammalia; Rodentia; Sciuridae.